UCGCCCAUCUCACAAUUAUCUUGAAAGCCAGGUCCAUAUUGUAUAUUUAUUAGUUCACAGACAAAACAGACACUGAAAAGUGCAUAAUAAAGACUAUAAUUGUUAAGAUAAUAUUAUAGCCAUAAUGUUAUCAAAGUAGUAAUGGUAUUGCUUUGAAUUAAUUACACUGGAUACAUGGGAGGAUUCCCAGGAUUGAAUGAAUAAAUUAUAUCCUUGUUCUUAGCAAAGCAAACAAUAAAAUUCCCACUGUACUGUCUAAUCAGAAACUCUAAUCUCAACGGUUAUUUUCUUUAUUGAGGGAAGCUGAUCUAAAUUUAUGGAGAAAAUGGUAGCAUCACAUCAUGCUAUCUUGUAGAGAAUAUGGGCUUAGGAAAGGGAACCCGCUACUUCAGAUUCAGCCUUCUACUUAUGACAUAUGUAACUUUAGCAAAAUGUUUAAUAAUAUGAGCCUUAACUUCAUCAUGUAUGAAAUGUCGAUAACAACAUGGUAGGUCCUUUAAUCUUUAGCACGGAACUCUCUAAUAGGGUAUGACUUUAAAAUAUCUGGCUACAAAUCUAUACUUUGGUAAAGCCUUGACAGAUAACAGCUCAUUUACACUUUAAUUUUUGAGUGUGUAAACCUCCCAGAAAAAUGGCAUCAGUUUGAAGUUUUGAAAAUGUCUUUGCAGUGCAAAUUUAAAAAGAUAUUUUUCAAAGAGUGUUAUAUCCUGGAAUCCCUUAAUUUUAGAGUUUUCACUCAAUCUUGGAUUCAAAAUUAUAUCUGUUUCUCAAUCCGCAAACGUAGCAUUUUCAUUUUACCAUUGCAUUCCUGUGUGGUUCUUGCUGAUUCUUUUUUUGCCUACUCAGGUUUGUGGCUUUGGGACAGACAAUUAGGGAAAUGUUAAAAUAAAGAGAGAGAGAAAAAAAAAUCUUCAAAAUGUCCCUCUUGCUCAAUUUCCACUGUCAUCAACUACUCAUCUAGAGACAAGAUUUCCAAUUAUCCUAUCAAACUGUAGUCAAAUCUGUAAGAUUAACAUUUUUCAACUCCCUCUUUGCCUGGAAUACAAUAAUAUUCCAGUAUUACUCAUGUGAAAGUGAAGAAAUGACUCUACAGUGAGCCAACUCACCAGAAGCCGGAUUUUCCUGAUACACCUUUUGUUGAAGGUGUUCUUCCUAGUAUUAAGGAGCUUCACACACUUUCUCUCUCAAAAAGGAAAUUUUGUUUAAAGUUUUCUAGUCCUUCAAUCAGUCAGUUGGUAAUUCUUACAAAAUAUGAUUCAAUGAAGUACUGAAAUGGCAUUUUUCCAACUGUCAAGAAGUCGAAAGGAGCAGAGAGAUGCUUCUGAGGAAGGGACAGACCUUGAGACCACAUUCUGUGAUCGUUUUGUUUGUUUUACAUCUAACUGCUUGACUUCAGGGACACAGACCCUGGAGAAUCCUGACAGUUCAUUGUCAUGAGAUAUAAACAAAAUAAUUAGAGAAAACUUUCUCUUCUGUAACUUAGAAUAUAAUUUCUUCUGAGUUGCUAAGUGUUGGUCAUGUCUUAAAAAAUAAUAUACAUCUAUAUAGAGGCUGUACUGAAAAACUUGAAAAAAUAAAAAUAAAACAAAAAACACAACCAUGACUAUUCUAAUAACCCCUAUGUAAUUAGAGCUGAUAUGCUUUUAAAAUAUUUUUCUGUUGCUUUAUGUGUAUGCAUUUAUUUAUACACAAACAUUUUUAACAUUACAUUGUACAUAUUUUUACAUUCAAUUAUGUUGGCUUAUUGUUAUAGUCUAAACAUGCCUUGAGCUAGUGUUUCAAAGAAUAGGGAUAUGUUAGGUAUCAGAAUUGCACUGUAUAUCCACCUAUAGUUUUCAGCAUAACCAUAUAAGUCAUAGUACUGAUAUUUUAAAUCCAUGUAAUGUAAUUUCUGAAUCUAUUCCUAUAGGGCACAAAUCAGAGAAGAAAAAAAAUGGUGUCAAAUAUUGACCCAAUAAUAUACCACCUCAUUGGUUACUGACCAUGAAGUCUUGAGACAUGCACACGUGUAGUGGCAUUUGGAAACAGAAAUUACAACUAUUCAAAAGGUUUGGAAAUUCUGAUGCAGCUAGUAUUGAAAAAUUUAGACAAAUUGAUAGGCUAAAUUUAAGCAGCUAGUUAUGGUUUAUAUUUAUAUUAUGAGCUAUUUUUAAUAGGCCAUGGGCAGCAAAAAUUAAAUAUCUGCUUGGAAAUUUCUAAGACCGACCUCCAUCAAUACAUUUUACCUGAUAUUCCAGUUGAAGUCAAGUCAGGGAUUAAAUCAAUGAAAAGAAUUUUAGAAUCUAAGCCAAGGAUUACUUUAAAAUAUUAUCACUCAGAAACAGAAGUUUUUUUUUCACUUUUCUGUUUUAUAGACAUCUUAGUGUAUAAGCCAAAACUAAAAAAGUAAAGACAAGCAAAAUAUAGAUCUAAUACACAAUCCAGCAAUCCACUACUGGGUAUCUAGCCAAAGAAAAAGAAAUCAGUAUAUCAAAGGUAUACCUGCACUUGCAUGUCUAUUGCAGCAUUAUUCACAAUAGCCAAGAUAUGGAAUUAACCUGUAUCCAUCAAUGAAUGAAUGGAUAAAGAAAAUGUGGUAUAAACACCCAGUGGAAUAUUAUUCAGUCACAGAAGGAAUGAAAUUCUGUCAUUUGCGGUUAUGUAGUUUGGAUGUUUCUCCUCUCCAAAUUCCAUGUAGAAAUGUGAUUUCCAAUGUUGGAGGUGAGGCCUAGUGGUAGAUGUUUGGGUCAUGAGGAUGGAUUCCUCAUGAAUGGCUUGGUGCCCUUGAUCCAUUAGUUCAUUCAAGAGCUGCUGGUUCAUGUGAGGGUCUGGGACCUCCCUCCUCUCUGCCUUGCUCUCUUUCUUUCCAUGACACAUCUGCUACCCCUUUGACUUCCACCAUGUUUGUGAGCUUCCUAAGACCCUAACCAGAAGCAGGUGCCGAUGCCAUGCUUCUUGUAUAGCCUGCAGAACUGUAAGCCAAAUAACCCCUUUCUCUUUAUAAAUUGUCCAACAUCACAAUUUCCUUUAUAACAGAACAAAAACGGAUUAACACAUGCAACAAUGUAGAUGGAACUGGAGGUCAUUAAGUUAAGGGAAAUUUGCCAGGCACAGAAAACCAAAUAUUACAUGCUCUCACUCAUAUGUAGGACAUAAAAAGUCAAUCUCAUGGACAUAGAAAAUAGAAUAAAUGUUAUCAGAGGCUGAAAAGGGUAGUGGGGAGAGUGGUGUAUAAACAGGUGUUGAUUAAUGAUCAAAGAUUAAUUAUAUCUAACCAAAAUACAGUUAGAUAGAAGGAAUAAGAUCUAGUAGUAGUCCAUACACAAUAGGGCAACUGUAGUUAACUAUAAUCUAUUGUAUAUUUCAAAAUAACUAGAAAAGUGAAAUUGGAACAUUCUUAAAAGAAGAAAUGACCAGUGCUUGAUGUGAUGAAUAUCUCAAUUACCCUGAUUUAAUCAUUAUGCAUGGUAUCCUUGUAUCAAAACUUCACAUGUACCCCAUAUACAUGUACAACUAUUAUGUAGCCAUAAAAAUUAAAAAUAAAUAAAUGAAUAAGACAAUGAAAACCCAUGUUGGCACAAGCAUAUUUGUGCAACAAGUUUUAAUUUUAAAAGUAUUGAUUAUGUGUAUUAUUAUCUUGCAAUUCUAAAUUCCAAUGCUACAAACUUUGUUCAGAGUUGCAUGCAGGUUUUGGUUAAGGAAUGAUCUGUGCACAUAAUACUAACUUUUUUUAAUCUUCCAAUGUGUGGUUUCAUUACAGCUUUAAGUCAUUAUUUUCGUAAGUUCUGAACAUGUUUUUAAAAACAGAAACCAAGGCUGUGGCUAUAUCAAUAGAGGCGUGAGAAAUUGCUUUAUAUAAACAAAUUGCUUAAAUAGAGAUCUGAAUUAUGGAUGACAUGUCACCUUCUUGGGCUAAAAAAAGAAAUAUUUCAAUAAAUUUCUGCCAAUUCAAAGUUAAAGAUUUAUUUAAAAGAAAGGUGCCAAACUCUUCUCAGUCAGGUAAUCAAUGAGAGAAUAGAUUUACUGAUAUAAUUUGUUAUUUUUGUUACCAAAAUAAGUAUAGUAAGAGAAAAUUUUUUAAAAAUGAACUAGUUAAACUAUAGGUAAUUUUUUUUUUCAGAAGAAAAGUUGAGAUCCAAGAGGCCAGGCAAGAGAGAUAUUAAAAGAAAGAGUCUAUAGUCCCAAUCCAAUUGCUAUUUAAGAAACAGUCAUAAAAAUAUUUUUUCUUUUGAGAAGUGUCUGAUCACAACCUUCACCCACUUUUUGAUGGGUUUUUUUUUUCUUGGAAAUUUGUUUCAGUUCCUUAUAGAUUCUGGAUAUUAGCCCUUUGCAAGAAGGGUAGAUUGCAAAAAUUUUCUAUUCUGUAGGUUGCCUGUUCACUCUGAUUAUAAUAGUUUCUUUUGCUGUGCAGAAGCUCUUUAGUCUAAUUAGAUCCCAUUUGUCAAUUUUGGCUUUUGUUGUCAUUGCUUUUGGUGUUUUAGACAUGAAGUUUUUGCCCAUGCCUAUGCCCUGAAUGGUCUUGCCCAGGUUUUCUCCUAGGAUUUUUAUGGUCCCAGGUCUUACAUUUAAGUCUUCGAUCCAUCUUGAGUUAAUUUUUACACAAGAUGUAAGGAAGGGGUCCAGUUUCAGUUUUUGCAUAUAGCUAGCCAGUUUUCCCAACACCAUUUAUUAAAUAGGGAAUCUUUUCCCCAUUGCUUGUGUGUAUCAGUUUUGUCACAUAUCAGAUGGUUGUGUAACAAAACUGCAUGUUCUGCACAUGUAACCCAGAACUUAAAGUAUAAUAAAAAAAUUUUCCAAGUGGGAGAAAUUAUUUUAUUUUUCUAAGAUAUAAAAGUUAACAGUAUCCUAAAAGACCCUGAUAGAAAAUAAAGGGAAAAUAUAAAAGUAAACUGGAAUAACAAAUCCAGGGGAAUUCAGGCCUAAGAAGUGUCUGAGCAAUGUCUUUUUCUUAAACUUUUAGAUAAAUUUUCCAUGACAAUAAUAAUAAUUAGUAAUAAUAUAAUGUUACUUCAAAUACCUCCAAACAAUGAUAUAUUAAAACACUAAAGGCAUUUGAUUAUAUAAACACUCAUAAGAACUAUUUCUUUUAAAAUUUAAUAUCAAAGCAUGUAAAAACUUCCUUAGCAAAUAAAAUUAUAUGUUUCUUAAUUUCAUAAAGGAGCUUCAAAUAACUACAGGACAAACAGGCUUAAUAUUAAAACGUAAGAUAUUACUUUUGAAAUCAUAAAUAUUUACAGCUUUCUUUAUUUUGUCAAUCAUUGUACUGUAACUUUUAACCACUAAAGUUGUGUAAUAAUGCAUAUAAACAAGGAUCAAUUACAGAUAGAUCAAUAGAUAGACAGAUAAAACAAAAAAGGUCAUCAUUUUCAUAAGAUGACAUUUCACAGAUAAUAAUACAUAGUAAUGUAGAGAUAACAUGGAUAAGGGAAAAAAAAUGAAUGAGAGUUUUGUAAUGUUUCUGAAUUCAAAACAAAUAUAUUAAAAUCAACUGUAUGUCUUUAUAAAAGCAGCAAACUAGAAUGAAAUAUUUAAGAAUAGACUACUUAUGAUAGCAUCAAAUAUUCAAUACCUAGGGGUAGGUCAGUAACUCUAAAGAUAAGUGUAUCAAAAUAUAUUAAGAGG
RNAcentral lists this long non-coding RNA (5601 nucleotides) under Homo sapiens (human). RNAcentral describes it as "HSALNT0175235". The record is from RNAcentral. Lineage: Eukaryota; Metazoa; Chordata; Mammalia; Primates; Hominidae.